UUGCAAGGACGCCUCAAGGUCGUUGGAAGAGCCGGCGUGGGAAUUGAUAAUGUGGAUCUCCAUGCCGCAACAGAGUACGGGUGUUUGGUGGUAAAUGCUCCCACUGCAAACACUGUAGCGGCUACAGAGCACGGCAUAGCACUUCUUGUCGCCAUGGCAAGGAACGUGCCGCAGGCCAGCGCUUCCAUGAAAGAGGGUCAGCUUUUAACAUUUUUUACUUAAGUGCUCUGUUUUAACUUUUCUUUGUUUAAUGAAAAGUAGUUUCAGGGAAUUUGGGUGAAGAAAGAUGAAUUGUUGAUCUCUGGGAUUGCUGUAGGAGAUAGCAAAGAAUUGUGGUUGCAUAUGGGUACUUUCUGGGACGCAGGCCCUGCUGUAAAAGUCGCUUACAAGCGUAAUGAUACAUGGAAUCCUUUCAGUAUGGUGCUCAAAAUGGGAAUCGGUGAGUGGGGUUCUCCUUCAGCGCCUGCCUUGGCUCACUCCCUUAGUAAUUAUGCGACCCAGUAACCAACACAGGCAAAAAAAUAAAGCCAGACUGAAUGCAAUUCCAGGGCCCUAUCAAAUUCAGAGUAAAAACUCUUGAUAAACAAGCAAUGUGUUGUUCCUUAUACGUUACUGGGGGUUGUAGUCCGACAUUUGUGUGAAGGCCGAUCUACAACAGUGAAGCUUGGACCUGUGAAGGGCUUGUGGCUCAGAAGCAAAGUACCCUAUAGCGGUUACAGAAGGAAAAUGAAGGAUGUGCGUUCACUCAGAUGCAGAUGUACUCAAAUACAUUACUCAAACACAAUGCAAAGCACAGAUCGAGAAUGUACUGGAGAAUGCUCAUGACUACUCCAGAUUGUUCGAAAGUUAAAAAUUAAAUGAACUCUGCCAAAUUCCUUCAAUGGCAUUUAAUGCACAAAGAUUUUUUACAGAUUUGAAUUA
Cryptomeria japonica (Japanese cedar) is the source of this 921-nucleotide RNA transcript. It is a transcript of the gene named D-3-phosphoglycerate dehydrogenase 3, chloroplastic-like, with no coding region annotated. The transcript is spliced from 3 exons. NCBI's taxonomy places the organism in Eukaryota, Viridiplantae, Streptophyta, Pinopsida, Cupressales, Cupressaceae. The record is from RefSeq and is a predicted model, not a curated record.